GGUUUCAUAGUUUAAUAAAAAUGUUAAGUUGCAAACUUAAAGAUAUAUGAAUAUAUUAUUGAAACUU
This 67-nucleotide transfer RNA is filed under the name Doryteuthis opalescens. RNAcentral's name for it is "tRNA-Cys". It matches the Rfam family "tRNA". Rfam says of the family: Transfer RNA (tRNA) molecules are approximately 80 nucleotides in length. Their secondary structure includes four short double-helical elements and three loops (D, anti-codon, and T loops). The record is from RNAcentral. Lineage: Eukaryota; Metazoa; Mollusca; Cephalopoda; Myopsida; Loliginidae.